Molecule: small nuclear RNA, 18 nt
Filed under: Arabidopsis thaliana (thale cress)
Lineage: Eukaryota; Viridiplantae; Streptophyta; Magnoliopsida; Brassicales; Brassicaceae
Description: snRNA_14212
Source: RNAcentral
AUAAAGAUAACUUUUGUG